AUUUGAAAAAAUAGGGAUUGUUUUUGGACAAGUUUUUCUUCGCAUUUGAUCAAAUAUUCGGUUGCUUGAGCUUCUGGGCUUAAAGUAGUCUGCUUUUUUUUUUCGCUCUCAAUGCUUCCGAAGUUAUAUAAUCAUCACAAACAUGCUCAUAUGAUCUGAAUUGAUGUGCAAUUCUAGAGAAGAAUUUUGAUUCCAAGUUGAAAAUUCAGAGGAAGUCUUCCAAUGGUGGGAAUGUGUAGAGAUUCAAGAACUUUGCUUUCAAGGCACUCCAAGAGAGUUUUGCUAUUUAGGAUUUUGAGUUGGACAAGAUCUAUGGCAUUGGUUCCUAUUCCAAGGAAAGUUUAAUGUUUAGGCACAAUUUUCCUAUUCUUCGAAUUAAGCAAAUGUGAGGUUAAUUGUGUCAAGCAUAUGUUGAGGUUGAUGAUGGUACAGGACAACUAGCUGCAGUAGCAUUUGGUGAAAUUGCUGAAAAAUUAUUGGGUUAUUCAGCAAUUCAUUUUAUGAAUCAUACUGGCAAGGAUCAUCUACCAUUUUUGGAAAGCAUGGCUAAAGAAAUUUCACAAAAAGAAUGGAUAAUUGACCUUGGUGUAGAUAUAGACCAAAUGAACCAACAAUGCCAUAAAAAAUUUAAUAUCUUAUCAAUUAAUCCUGCAAAAAAUACAAUAAAAUGAUGAUUAGCCAUUAAUAUGGCAUGAUCUUUUUAACUUCAGUUUGACCUUAAAGCAUGAAACAACCUACG
Molecule: long non-coding RNA, 739 nt
Organism: Carya illinoinensis
Lineage: Eukaryota; Viridiplantae; Streptophyta; Magnoliopsida; Fagales; Juglandaceae
Exons: 3
Source: RefSeq, a predicted model, not a curated record